UACGUAGGGUGCAAGCGUCGUCCGGAAUUAUUGGGCGUAAAGAGCUCGUAGGCGGUCUGUCGCGUCUGGUGUGAAAAUCCAGGGCUUAACCCUGGACCUGCAUCGGGUACGGGCAGACUAGAGUGCGGUAGGGGAGAUCGGAAUUCCUGGUGUAGCGGUGAAAUGCGCAGAUAUCAGGAGGAACACCGGUGGCGAAGGCGGGUCUCUGGGCCGUUACUGACGCUGAGGAGCGAAAGCGUGGGGAGCGAACAGG
Molecule: ribosomal RNA, 253 nt
Filed under: uncultured bacterium
Lineage: Bacteria
Description: partial 16S ribosomal RNA
Rfam family: Bacterial small subunit ribosomal RNA
Source: RNAcentral